RNAcentral lists this long non-coding RNA (740 nucleotides) under Panax ginseng (ginseng). RNAcentral's name for it is "long non-coding RNA (PGIN_LNC017763)". The record is from RNAcentral. Lineage: Eukaryota; Viridiplantae; Streptophyta; Magnoliopsida; Apiales; Araliaceae.
UUUGUCAGAGAAAAAAUGGCCCAAAUAAAUCUGGGUGUUCCUGAAUUAAAUUAUAAACUGAUAAGAGUUCUGAACUUCAGGAGAAAGCAAAUUAGCAUUCUUCUGUAGUGUAAAUCAGAAGAAGAUGUUUCCAGUCAAACUGCGUACCUGCUGCCUUCUUUAAGAGUGAGAGGUGUAGAUCCCAGAGGUUGAUAAUUUAUGGGCAUUAUAUCUUAUAAGUUGUUUACCUUUGUUGUACUGCUCUCUCUCUCUCUCUCUCUCUCUCUCUCUCUCUCUCUCUCACAUAGUGACUACAAAAUGUUGUUAACCUUUACCAAAUUUGGUGGCAGUGUUGACAGUUGAUCUUUAUACUUUUAUGUAAGUUGCUUACUUCUAUCCUAUAGUGUUAACAGUUGGCAUUUCUUAUUUGUUUAGAUCCAUCUCUUUUGCCAUCUUGAUAGUCGGUAGUUUGGCAACAAUUAAAAGAUCCCUCGAAUGAUGGAUCAACGCGCAGUAAUCUGUUACCUGCAGGCUGCAGGGAGCUAUAAUUAUUGAAUUAUGAUCAAGUUUAUAUGAGAUUGAGCUAGUAGUGUCUUGAGUUCCAUCUCUUAAGAGCUCUAGCUUGUAGCAAGUUAUCUAACCUGGAUUUGAAUAUAAGAAUUGUUUGAGUUCAUUUUCUCCAAGGUCAGGUCAACAAGUUAUGCUUGAGAUUCCUAGACUGUUAAGCCUUGUAGCUACUAGUAUUUAAUCUCCUUCUGCCU